RNAcentral lists this long non-coding RNA (804 nucleotides) under Musa acuminata (dwarf banana). Its description in RNAcentral is "long non-coding RNA (MACU_LNC000132)". Lineage: Eukaryota; Viridiplantae; Streptophyta; Magnoliopsida; Zingiberales; Musaceae. The record is from RNAcentral.
AGGUGGAGAAGAAGAAGAAGAGGAGGAGGAAGGCUGACGUCCCCACGGCUACCUGCGUCCUCCAAACAAGCACGCACUGUCGGCAGAAGGAAGCCAAGCAACGGGCCUUUUCCCAACGUCAAGUCGCCCAACGGCACUCUCCCCCUCCUCUGUCCUCACGUCGGGCUUUGCAUGGGAUUCGCUACACGUGAAGGUAAACAGUCUUCCCAUGAUUACCUCACCUACUCCUCCACUGCUCACCCAACAUCUCACCGUAAUCGCAUUUCUUUCCUUUGGAUCAUCGAUCCAUCGUUCCCCGACGUCUGUCUCAUAAAUAAAUCAUGCCCAUGAACUGUUCGUCAGAAUGCCAAGUCUAAACUACUAUGAUGUUGUCCUUUGAUUGGCAGCUUAAAGGUCCUCGCUAAUAAGAGCGUCCUUUUGCUUGUAAUCAUGCUCCAUAUGAACCUCUAGCUUCUUGAGGUCUGACAGACAAAAGUGAAACCAGUACAAGGAAUUAGUUGGCACAAAACCUAAUUAAUUGAUCUGCCUCACAUCACUCACAUCGCACUCGUUCGGACUUUACAGUAGAAAGUAUGGGCUCCAAAUGCUUCUAGCCUUAGUUAAUUUGCAUGCUGUAGAGUGGCCAUGCAGUUUGCUGAUGUUCUUCUUCUUUAGCUCAGCGAAAUGGUUCAUAUAGAUUCGGACAUGACAACCAAUGAAGAAGAAAGAUAUGCCUUCCUGAAUGUCGAACAGUGUACAAAUAUAUUAGACUGCUGGAGAAACACCAGCAGAUGAGCUGCUGCUAUGCUAAUCUUUUGUUGUGGC